RNAcentral lists this unclassified non-coding RNA (2960 nucleotides) under Dimorphilus gyrociliatus. RNAcentral describes it as "tLC domain-containing protein". The record is from RNAcentral. Lineage: Eukaryota; Metazoa; Annelida; Polychaeta; Dinophilidae.
ACUGUAUUUACUUUAUAUAAACUGUACAUUUAUUAUAAAAAAAGUUUAUUUUUAUAUCAACCAAUGCUCUCUUCACUAGUAUUGCAAUAUUUCUUUCUCAUACAUUUAACCUGACAGGAAGAGAAAUCAGAAUAAGAGAUAGGCGUCUAUUGCGAAGAGAAAGCUUCAUUUGAAAAGAGAAAGCUAUAUUUCCUUACAGUGAAAAUUUUAUUGAUGAUUUCAUCUAUAAAAAUUAUUAUGCGUGUUCCACUUGCAAUACUAUAUGUGUUUUAGUGUUCAAUAUACUGUACACUUAAAACGAUGAGCAAUUUACGAAAUAGCGCUUCCCGUCAAUUUUAUUCAAGGUAUUACGCUGAUCUGUUGUCUUAUUAGACGAAUAAAACUACAAUUAUAAAGAAAGAUGGAACUAGUAUCGAAUAUAAUUUUCAGUGAAUCGUUUUGGUUACCUCAUUAUGUAAAAUGGAAAGAUUUCGAAAACGUUACGAAAAUAGAUAUGCCAGUAGCUUGGCAUUGUUUUCUAGCCUUACCUAUUGCUGUGGGCCUUUUUAUACUAAGAUUGUUAUUCGAAAGAUUUAUUUCUACUCCUAUUGGAAGAAUAUUUAAACUAAAGGAAUCUCGACCAAAAAAACCUAGAGAUAAUGAGUUAUUGGAAAAUGAAUUCCGGUCUGCUUUUAAGAAAACAAUACCCAAUUACGAAUCAUUAUUAGAAUUAUCAAAAAAGACUGAUCUAACAGUAAGACAAUUAGAGAGAUGGUGGAGAAGACGGCGAAUAUUUGGUAAUCCAAGCGAAAUGCAAAAAUUCAACGAAGCCAGUUGGAGAUUAACUUUCUAUUGUUUGGUUUUCUGGUAUGGACUAAUCAUCUUAUUCGAUAAAGAUUACUUUUGGGAUACAAGAAACUGCUGGUCUAAUUAUCCGUAUCAGCAUCUUUCCAAAUCAAUAUGGUGGUAUUAUCAAAUAGAAAUGGCAUUUUAUUGGUCGUUAUUGAUAUCUGUAUUUAUGGAUACUAAAAGAAAGGAUUUUGCGAUAAAUCUUUGCCAUCAUUUUGCGACACUUUCUCUAAUGAUAUUUAGUUUUAUACCAAAUUUCAUCAGAAUGGGAUCAUUGGUUUUAUGUGUUCACGAUGCUGUGGAUGGAUGGUUGGAGAGUGCAAAAUUGGCUAAAUAUUUAAAAUUUUCCAAGCUAACUGAUGUUCUCUUCAUAAUUUUUGCUAGUGUAUGGGUUAUUACAAGGCUAUGCAUAUUUCCAUUCUACCUCAUUAGAUCAACUUUAUUUGAAUCAGAAGCGGUAAUGCAAGGAAAAUAUGUUCCAGCUCACGUUUUAUUCAACAUUCUAUUAAUUACCUUGCUGAUUCUUCACAUAUAUUGGUUCUAUUUAAUAUGUAGAAUGUUGCACAAGUAUCUUAUUUCUGGAGAAAUUGAAAAAGAUAUCAGAAGUGAAACUGAACCAGAUACCUCUGAUAACGAAGUAAGGAAGCAAAAUGGUAACGGUAUUAGUAGACAAUAAACUAUAAUAAAGAGAAACGUAAUGUAAAGUACUCUGAACAAAAUUUCAAUAGAAGAUAUAGUAAAAAUAACUCUUGAGGAGAAGAAGAGAAAGAUGAAGACAAAGAAAAUAAUUAUGUUAUUAAUCAUAUUUCAAAAAAAAGACUGAAAGUAGAAAAAGCAAAACGUUUCUUUUAUGAAAUAAAUGAAAAGUUUUAUUUUGUUGUUUACCUCUUUGUUUAUCUUUUUCUCUCCUCUCUAUCUCCCUCUCUUUCUCUUCCUCCCUCUCUCUUUUUGUCAAUCUACCUCUUCUAUUAUUUUGCAAAAUUGUAUUCAUAAACUUUGAUAUUUCUAAGUGUUUUUUCUAAAGGAAUAGAAAAAGAGUUAAUUAGGUUAUUUAUAUACAUUUUUAAAAAUAAAAUAUGAAUGUUUAUUAGCAAUAUUUUCCAGAAAUAUGUUCUUUUUACACUUACACACGUGUAUGUAAUGAAGUUUACAUAGAGUCUUCAAGGAUAAUUAGUCCUAUAUUUGUCAGGUUAACACGCUGAUUUUUUUUCUCUUUAAUAUUUCAUUUCUAAACCAUCGAAAGCACUUCUAAUACUACAGAUAUAUAUAUAGUGCGCGAAAAUUUGUGACUUGUUUCUCUAUCCCUACUUCUGCUUAGAAACUUUACGAAGAAGAUGGUCUUAUGUAUGUGAGCUUCAUCUAGACUAUAAAGAGUAUUGAUUGGAGGAAUAAAAUGGUCUUUUACAAUGUCUACGUAAUUCUCUUCUUUUAUUCUGGAUCUCACAAGCUCAAAAGAAGUCUUUCCUUCGUAUAACACUUCUCCUCAUAUUAUCACACUACCUCCACGCUGUAUCUAUAGGAAAAGAUUCUUUUUUCUUUGUGGUAGUCAUACCAAUAGCAAAUCCAAUCAUCAGGCCCAUUAAGAUUGAAAUCUCUCGUCAUUAAAAAUGAUCUUAUGCCAAGAAUCAAAAAUAAAAUACUUAUAACAAAGCUAUAUGUUCCAUGUUUUAGCUUUGGCUUUUUCACUCAAUUUUUAUAAUGCUCUAUACUUUUAGAAUGUUUCUGCUGGUGUAUUUACUACCAGGUAGAAGUAAUUGAGUUUUAAUUUUUCUGGCUGAAAUUUGCUUGUUGCCAGCAGCAUCUACUAUCCUUUUCCUUAUAAUGGUGCAGUAUAGUUUCUUUAUGCCCUUAUUCAUCAUCCUUAGGCCAAAGCUUUCUGGAUUCCUGAGAAAUCUGGAAAUAGUAAAGUUACUGCUCUUCAGUCUUAUAGCAAUUUUGCUCUUGCUGGUAUGCCUUUUGCUCAGUAAACAAGUAUAGAAUGACUAUUUUUAACAAAUUGACGAAGAACACUCUUAAUUGUUGAAUAAAAACUCAAUAUAUACAGUAUAUAUACAAUAUAUAUUAUAUCGAAUCCUCUGACCAAUUUUAAUAAACUACCUAACAAAUAUCUUGGUUUGGAAUGAGAGUGUGAA